This 492-nucleotide ribosomal RNA is filed under the name uncultured bacterium. RNAcentral's name for it is "partial 16S ribosomal RNA". It matches the Rfam family "Bacterial small subunit ribosomal RNA", at positions 29 to 507 of the family's 1533-position model. The record is from RNAcentral.
AGUGAGCGCUGGCGGUAGGCCUAACACAUGCAAGUCGAACGGCAGCACAGUAAGAGCUUGCUCUUACGGGUGGCGAGUGGCGGACGGGUGAGGAAUACAUCGGAAUCUACUUUUUCGUGGGGGAUAACGUAGGGAAACUUACGCUAAUACCGCAUGCGACCUACGGGUGAAAGCAGGGGAUCUUCGGACCUUGCGCGAUUGAAUGAGCCGAUGUCGGAUUAGCUAGUUGGCGGGGUAAAGGCCCACCAAGGCGACGAUCCGUAGCUGGUCUGAGAGGAUGAGCAGCCACACUGGAACUGAGACACGGUCCAGACUCCUACGAGAGGCAGCAGUGGGGAAUAUUGGACAAUGGGCGCAAGCCUGAUCCAGCCAUACCGCGUGGGUGAAGAAGGCCUUCGGGUUGUAAAGCCCUUUUGUUGGGAAAGAAAAGCAGCAGGUUAAUACCCCGCUGUUCUGACGGUACCCAAAGAAUAAGCACCGGCUAACUUCGUG